GAUGAAGAACGCAGCGAAAUGCGAUAAGUAAUGUGAAUUGCAGAAUUCAGUGAAUCAUCGAAUCUUUGAACGCACAUUGCGCCCGCCAGUAUUCUGGCGGGCAUGCCUGUUCGAGCGUCAUUUCAACCAUCAAGCCCCCGGCUUGUGUUGGGGACCUGCGGCUGCCGCAGGCCCUGAAAACCAGUGGCGGGCUCGCUAGUCACUCCGAGCGUAGUAAUACAUCUCGCUCAGGGCGUGCUGCGGGUUCCGGCCGUUAAAAAGCCUUAUUUACCCAAGGUUGACCUCGGAUCAGGUAGGAAGACCCGCUGAACUUUAGCAUAUCAAUAAGCGGAGGA
Molecule: unclassified non-coding RNA, 335 nt
Filed under: soil metagenome
Description: partial contains 5.8S ribosomal RNA, internal transcribed spacer 2, and large subunit ribosomal RNA
Rfam family: 5.8S ribosomal RNA (bases 1-120)
Source: RNAcentral